Long non-coding RNA from Nicotiana attenuata, 956 nucleotides. RefSeq lists it as uncharacterized. Lineage: Eukaryota; Viridiplantae; Streptophyta; Magnoliopsida; Solanales; Solanaceae. The transcript has 2 exons. The record is from RefSeq and is a predicted model, not a curated record.
AUAUCAAGAUUAAUCUCAGCCAUUAGAUGCAUCUAAUCCAAUGGUUGGAUUUAUUUCUAAAAUUAAAAUUAAUUUUGACUAGGGUUCAUCUCUUUCCCUCUUUCAAAGAAAACCAGCGUUUCUUUUGUCUGCCAUGGCAGAAAAGUUUUGGCUCCUUCUAUUUUUUUGGCAAAAUUUGACUCUCAAAUCUUAUAAUCAGAAAUUUGUAUAGCUAUUCUAAGGAAUCAUCUGCAAACUCAAGCACUUUGACUCAAAAAUUCAAAUUCGUUUGCUAUUUACAAUGAAGUUGACAAAGGUAAAAAGGGUUCUCUUUUUGUUUCCUCCAAGAUUUCACAAUUUUGGCAACCGAAUCCCUGCUUCUCCUGCCCAUAUCGUCCUUUUUCUUUCUUCUACACGUCAUUUCAAACGGUUCUUGAUCCGUUUGAAACCCUAACCCUUCAAGAAUCCCGCCCAAAUUAACCCUAGAAAGGUGUAGUAAUUCUUCUAUAAAUACAGAGGUUUUGGUAAUAAUUGAGGACAACUCUUGGAGCCAUCUUCAAACAAUUUUAUUCUUCAAAAAUACUCUAAAAUUCUCAGUUGUGUCGCCUCUGUUACUUCUUGCUAAAACAGAGAAAUUUUUCUUUGCAAAGUUCGCGGUUGUAAGCUCGAGUUCAAGUCCGAAGCCAGAAUCUAUAGAUUUAUUCGACGCGCCCAAGUUCGCUGCAUCGCAAAAGCAAUAUGACUUUUAAUGCAAGACUCGCCCCGCCCCAGCAUGGAAUCAUUACUAUUGAGCCAUAGACUAUGAUGGACAUCUAGAAGAAGAACAAGCGAAAAGCUUGGGGUCGCCUAUGGCGGCCUUCGUUAUUUACAUUUACUCUGUUUCGAAUUUUUAAUCAAUUUGGUUAUAUUCUUUUGAUUAGUUUAGUUCUACACUUAACUUGAGUUUGUUAAUUUAGUUUUGAUUUCUUUACUUAGUA